AUAUCAAUAAGCGGAGGAAAAGAAACUAACAAGGAUUCCCCUAGUAACGGCGAGUGAAGCGGGAUGAGCUCAAAUUUAAAAUCUGGCUGGUUUACCAGUCCGAGUUGUAGUUUAAAGAAGCGUUUUCGGUGGCAGUCUCGGUAUAAAUCCUUUGGAACAGGGUAUCAUAGAGGGUGAGAAUCCCGUCUUUGACUGAGAAUAUGCUACUAUGUGAUACGUUUUCAAAGAGUCGAGUUGUUUGGGAAUGCAGCUCAAAAUGGGUGGUAAAUUUCAUCUAAAGCUAAAUAUUGGCGAGAGACCGAUAGCGAACAAGUACCGUGAGGGAAAGAUGAAAAGAACUUUGAAAAGAGAGUUAAACAGUGCGUGAAAUUGUUGAAAGGGAAACGCUUGAAACCAGUCAUGCGGUUGGGAAAUCAGUCUCUGACGGGGGGGAAUGGAGGAGGUGUGGACCGCAAGGCCGCUCUUUUUCAUAUCUUUCUUGGCAGGGAUGCACUUUUUCUUCUGCAGGUCAACAUCAGUUUGCUUUGCCGGACAAAACUCUUGGGAAGGUGACAGCUUAGGCUGUGUUAUAGCCCUUGAGCGAUACGGUGGAGCGGACUGAGGUUUUCGCAGCAUGUGCUCUCGGGCAAGGCUGAUUGGGUGCUAUGAGAUCGUUCAGGGUACAAUACAUGUAUUUUGCCUUGUGUCUUUUUUAUACUCGCUCAACUCGGCUCUUCCAUGCUUAGGAUGUUGACAUAAUGGUUUUAAUCGA
This 751-nucleotide ribosomal RNA is filed under the name uncultured fungus. RNAcentral describes it as "eukaryotic LSU rRNA". It matches the Rfam family "Eukaryotic large subunit ribosomal RNA", at positions 40 to 647 of the family's 3401-position model. Lineage: Eukaryota; Fungi. The record is from RNAcentral.